This is a non-coding RNA of Chelonoidis abingdonii (Abingdon island giant tortoise), 1507 nucleotides long. The record is from RefSeq and is a predicted model, not a curated record. NCBI's taxonomy places the organism in Eukaryota, Metazoa, Chordata, Testudines, Testudinidae.
UAAAAUCAUAUGCUUUUAUUUAACAUAAAAUGAAACAUUAAGAUAAAAUACACAUUUAUCCAUGUGCUGAAGAACUAUUGUAUUUUACAUUCAUUUAUGAAGCAGGUAGUUUUACAUGACAAAAAUAAGGAGUGAGGGGAAGAGGAACUUAAUCUGCAGUAAGACAUAAGCCACAAGGCAGGCUUUCGCUUUUCAAAGUGCUACCUCCUCUGGACACACAUAUCUUAAAGUGACAAGAUACAAAUAUACUGUUUUUAGCACUCCUCAGAUCCUUCUUAAUGCUGGUGAGAAGCUAAGGUGGAAUCUUAUACAGCAGACCCCGAAGCAGACUUUUAAAAUUAUUUUUAUUUUUCAUUUGGGGAGAGAAUCAGUUUACUAGAAUGACCUCUGCCAAUCUGCAAAAUUAUGGGCCACACGUCUCUCUGCUGUGAUUGCUGGUUUAAUGGAACUGACCCAUUAAGUUUCUUUAAAUGCCUGGAAAUUGGGUCAUUUCCUUAUUAAGGAGGAGAGUGAAUUACAAUAAUCUUAUUGUUCAGUACAAACUUAUCACUGGAUAACAACAGAAAAUGACCAUUUCUUAUUUAAGUUAGAUUGCUUGCCUCCGCUAGUUUGCAAAGGGACUAUUUUAGAAUCCAAUUGCCAACUGGAGGCAUCAACUAUCAGGUCACUUUCCCCAGUGUUGGGACUGGGGUUCAGCUGUGACAUCUUAUUAUAAAAGACCAAAUCCAGGAAUAUUAAUCUCUUGGCAUAGCUCUUUGAAUAGAAACACGAUUUAGCCUCUGAGAGGUGCAACUGAAAGAAAACCCACAGGGGAAAAGCUGGCUUCUAAGUUUUAAAUGGAGCAGGAAGGGAUGGGAGCUGCAGCAGUGCUAGCAGGACUAGGAAUGUUUAGACAAAAAGUGCAGCAGAUCAAAACAAUACAUACUAUAUUUUUUUUUCUAACCCAUAUAUUUUAAAUAUUAAAACAAAUAUAAAAGCUGUAAUUCUACAUCAGGCUUGUGGUAACUCAAACUUUGUUCUCAAAAUUAAUGUCACCAGAAUCCUGAGAUGGACUUACAGCCUUUUUAGGUACAUUUAUGUAAAAUAUAGUUGUAUAUAUACACACACAUAUACACUCUAGUUAUAUAUACAUAUACACAUCCAAACAGUGUAACCUUCUGCUAGAUAGUGCAACUGUUCAGAGUGAAAACCCCUUUGAAUGUGCAGACUGCAAUUCAGAGAAAGAAAGAUAAAAUGCCUUUACUAAAAAACAAUCUCACUUCGUGUAUGUAAAUAGAGGCCUGGCAUAUUUUGGGGUGUUUGGAAAAUAAUCAUAAUAAUAACAAAACUGUCCGAGUUUUCUUUAAAGUCAAUUUCCCUUCCCACAAACCUCGAUCAGAGAGUUAUUGUAAACACAAUUCUUGUUUAUCUGAGAGAUUCCAGCAGUUUUUGCAGGGAGGUUUGGGCUAUGGGAAACACAGUGGCUCCAAUUUGGGGAUACACCUGAGCUGAGGGCAGCCCCAUGCAA